GCGGCGGGGGCUGGACGCGCUCUCCGGCCACCUGCGGCUGCGGCGGGCCCCGGCGGAGGGAUCUGGGCAGAGGCGGCGCGUGAUUGGACAGCCGGCCGCACGCACUGCCGGGCCGGGAUGGCUCCGCGCGCCGCGACCAGGUGCGAGCGGGAGCGGGGCCGGGGCCGGUGCGGUGUGGGCGGCCCUUAGCCUCCCGGGUGCCGCUCGGAGAGCCGGGAGCCGACGCUUUGUCUUCCGGCGGGAAGUGCAGCCUCCUGGCCGCUCGGUUCAUCCUGACUCGGCAUGGCGGGGCGCAGCGGAGGCGCUCUGAGCAGGUGGAGGUGGUGCCUGGGUCGGCAGCUCUCGGGGCACCUUGCUGGCCCAGCAGCGAGAGGGAGGCGCCCUGGUGGCUUCCCUGAACCCGAUGGAAGCGGUUCUGCAAUUCCCUCACGCGGGACUGCGGGACUGCCGCCCACUGCCUACGGGCGGCGGCGUCUCCCGGGGGAGGAGGAGCAGCCCUGACGCUCACCACGGGGCUCGGGUCCUUCCUCUGACCCGGCUCUUACCCGGCUUUACCCAAACUAUAAUCCCCAGGUGCCCUGGGAUGAGGUGGCUUACGGGGAUAAGGUGAAAGGAAGCUCCAGAUGGGCAAAGGGGUCAUGGGGUGUCCCCGGGAGACCAGAGGGAAGAAAGAGAACGGCAUCUACAAUAAGCCUGGCCUGGGUCGUUGAUGUCCAAAAAGUCCAGGCACCCGUGACAUGGGCAGAACGGUGGUUGAAGAAGUUGACAGUGAUUCAUGGACGCUCUCCUGAGCCUCAGAGCUGGUGUGACCAUGACCCUGAGCAUGAACGGAUCAUGCUCUCCCAUGAGCCAGUACUUUGCUCGGUUCAUCCUUUCUGUCUGCAGUGUUCUUCCCAUGCUGCCUCGCCAGGUCAUCUCCCGUUCCCCUCAUCAGCAACUAGCUUUAAAGACGUUACUUAUUCAGCUCAUUGUGUCAAACAUAGAGAUUUGUGGUUUUAUAAAUGUGGAGCUAAACCAAGCUUUCUAGACUAAUUUUCUAAGCUAGUGUGUGUGUGUUUUGUUGUUGUU
Molecule: long non-coding RNA, 1068 nt
Organism: Myotis lucifugus (little brown bat)
Lineage: Eukaryota; Metazoa; Chordata; Mammalia; Chiroptera; Vespertilionidae
Exons: 2
Source: RefSeq, a predicted model, not a curated record